This 468-nucleotide ribosomal RNA is filed under the name uncultured bacterium. Its description in RNAcentral is "partial 16S ribosomal RNA". It matches the Rfam family "Bacterial small subunit ribosomal RNA", at positions 28 to 507 of the family's 1533-position model. The record is from RNAcentral.
GACGAACGCUGGCGGCGUGCUUAACACAUGCAAGUCGAACGGAAAGGCCCUGCUUUUGUGGGGUGCUCGAGUGGCGAACGGGUGAGUAACACGUGAGUAACCUGCCCUUGACUUUGGGAUAACUUCAGGAAACUGGGGCUAAUACCGGAUAGGAGCUCCUGCUGCUUGGUGGGGGUUGGAAAGUUUCGGCGGUUGGGGAUGGACUCGCGGCUUAUCAGCUUGUUGGUGGGGUAGUGGCUUACCAAGGCUUUGACGGGUAGCCGGCCUGAGAGGGUGACCGGCCACAUUGGGACUGAGAUACGGCCCAGACUCCUACGGGAGGCAGCAGUGGGGAAUACUGCACAAUGGGCGGAAGCCUGAUGCAGCAACGCCGCGUGCGGGAUGACGGCCUUCGGGUUGUAAACCGCUUUCGCCUGUGACGAAGCGUGAGUGACGGUAAUGGGUAAAGAAGCACCGGCUAACUACGUG